UCAGCAGCAGUCAGCAGCAGCUGCUUCAGCAGCUUGCGCAGGGAGUAGCAGCAGCAGCUUCAGCAGCAGGCAGUGAGCAGCAGCAGCAGGAGCUUCAGCAGCAACAGUAGCUUCAGCUGCAGGGAAGAAAGAAAAGAAAGAAACUGCAGCAGGGAAAAGAAAGAAAGGAAGAAAAGAAUGAAAGAAAGAAAGAAAGAAAAGAAAGAAAGCAAGUAAGGAAGAAAGAAAGAAAAAGAAAUAGAAGAGAGGAAAAAUGAAAGAAAGAAAAAGAGAAAGAACGAGUUGAAAGAACUCGAUGUAAUUGUGAAAUUGCAAUUGCAAAGAAAGUGAAAUUGCAUUGAAAUGGGUUUGUAUUGAAAAUUGACC
This 366-nucleotide long non-coding RNA is filed under the name Ananas comosus (pineapple). Its description in RNAcentral is "long non-coding RNA (ACOM_LNC021397)". Lineage: Eukaryota; Viridiplantae; Streptophyta; Magnoliopsida; Poales; Bromeliaceae. The record is from RNAcentral.